This is a non-coding RNA of Schizosaccharomyces pombe (fission yeast), 469 nucleotides long. Lineage: Eukaryota; Fungi; Ascomycota; Schizosaccharomycetes; Schizosaccharomycetales; Schizosaccharomycetaceae. The record is from the annotation of a GenBank genome assembly.
ACAAUAUUUACAAUGUAUUUUGUAUAAUGAACUUGCAUUGCAAAAUGAACCAGCGCUUUAACGAAACCUUGCAAAUUUAAAGACAUUAACGAACACUGUUACCGAGUAUUUGAUAAUUUUUUGUUUGAAACAAGGGGGACGAUCGGUAAAAGUUCGAGUACUAAUCUAUUAAGGUUGACAGUGUAAGCGGUGUUCUUUUUUAAAUUCUGGACCCUAUAUUACUUUCGAAAUCGCGAUACAGCGGCUUGGUUGAUUCUUUGGACGGGGGAUGGAGUGGUUUCUAUUUACAAGAAGAGAGCAUGGAAGAAGGGAAAGAAGGAAAAUUCAUGAGUAAAAAAUUAGAGAAAAAAAAGAGAUUUAAAUCCCGCUUUAUUUCCUUUUUAUAGUCGUUGAAAAAUGAAGGAUAAAAAAAAACCCCUAAUGUAGAAUUUACUACUUGUACCCCAAAAGACAUGUUAUCACUCAUUUA